RNAcentral lists this unclassified non-coding RNA (1338 nucleotides) under Hevea brasiliensis (rubber tree). Lineage: Eukaryota; Viridiplantae; Streptophyta; Magnoliopsida; Malpighiales; Euphorbiaceae. The record is from RNAcentral.
CUAAAUACAUUUUGUUUUUCCUAUUGCAACAUCCGAUUAACUGCAAUUCAACUAUUGAUAUAAUAAUUCCAUUUUGCUUUCCUAAUGCAAUAUCUAAUCCAGCAUUCAAAAUUGCUACCAUGAGAAGGCCACCACCUUUCAACAAGCUAGAAAGUUGCAUCACAAACUGGAGAUACAAACUGAAAUUCCCAUCAUUCUUAACCAUCUAAAACAUAAUCACAACAAUCCUGGAACCCACAUGCAAGCAUUAGCAAUCCAUAUCUAGCAAAUAUAAGAAUGGGACAUGAUUUAUCACAUUAGAACUUCUUAUUCAACAUUUUCACAGCACGAGGAUUCAGAGGUAGAUAACCAGAAGAUACAAGUUGCUAGAUCCUGAUACAAUUAAACCUUCCCAAACAAGAAAAAGAACUAUAACUUGGAAUAUUACAUCGCUUUAAUAUCUUCAGAACAGAACAGUAGUAUAAUCAUAACUCUCGGACAAAAGUCGCAUCUCUCUCAAUAAGAGUGACAUUUACAUAAUAAUAUCUGCAGAUUUUUUUAGUAAAAAGGCUAUAUUACGAAGGAUAUAAGCUUGAAGCUGAAGGAGCUAAACCAAGUCUAACGUGGCAUAUCUAUCAAUGGUAACGGGCAGAUCAAACCAUUGAUAGUUUUGAUACGAGGAACCAAACACAGCUAGAGCCAUUUGGUUCCUUUACUCAUUGUCUUAGUUUCUCUAUGAGGCAUUUAAUGCAGAGAAGAGGAACAUAAUCUACCCUCCUUAGCCAUCCACAUACUAUACUUACUGAGUCUCCAGUUAUAGUACGUAACAUUGUCUAGUUCCUAUUAAGGAACUUAAUGGGAACAUUUCACGUGGAAGUAGACACAGAGGUACCAAAGCCACUGUGACUGUGGUUCUCUUUGUUGUGAAUAGGCUGCUGCAGUACAGAGCAACCAGUGUCUUCUUGUUCAUCACGUGCAAAUAUCUCUUUCAGCAAUUGGGAGUCUUUCUGCAAAAAGAAUCACAGUAAAGCAAGCUUAAGUUAUGAGAGUGCUUCCCCUUCUUCACAUGAACAAAAUUAAGAACUUUUCACCAAGCAUGCUAUUUCUUACCUCGGAAAAUGAAUAUUCUCCUACAUCAAUAUCCACCAAGGGACUCAGAUGUCCUUCAGAGAUUAACACGUCUGUGUCUUUAUGUUGACUUUGCACUUCUUGAAAUGUAGUAUCUUGAAUAUGAGAAGCCAUCAUGGUACUCCAAUAAUUUCCAGGAAUUGAAUUAUCAGUAUUCUCAUAUUGAUUUUGAUUCUCAAAAUAAGAAGGUACUCCAUUGAGGUAAGAAGGUACUCCAUUGAGGUGACAACA